UAGGGAAUUUUGCGCAAUGGGCGAAAGCCUGACGCAGCAACACCGCGUGAAUGUUAAGCCCUUCGGGGUGUAAAGUUCUGUCAGUGGGGACGAAUAAUGACGGUACCCACAAAGGAAGCACCGGCUAACUCCGUGCCAGCAGCCGCGGUAAUACGGGGGGUGCAAGCGUUGUCCGGAAUCAUUGGGCGUAAAGCGUUCGUAGGCGGUAUAUCAAGUCUGGUGUUAAAGCCCGAGGCUCAACUUCGGAUCGGCACUGGAUACUGGUAAACUAGAAUGUGGUAGAGGUAAGGGGAAUUCCUGGUGUAGCGGUGAAAUGCGUAGAUAUCAGGAGGAACAUCGGUGGCGAAAGCGCCUUACUGGGCCAUUAUUGACGCUGAGGAACGAAAGCCAGGGGAGCAAAUG
This 402-nucleotide ribosomal RNA is filed under the name uncultured delta proteobacterium. RNAcentral describes it as "partial 16S ribosomal RNA". It matches the Rfam family "Bacterial small subunit ribosomal RNA", at positions 355 to 774 of the family's 1533-position model. The record is from RNAcentral. Lineage: Bacteria; Deltaproteobacteria.